GAUGAACGCUGGCGGCGUGCCUAAUACAUGCAAGUCGAGCGAACGGACGAGAAGCUUGCUUCUCUGAUGUUAGCGGCGGACGGGUGAGUAACACGUGGAUAACCUACCUAUAAGACUGGGAUAACUUCGGGAAACCGGAGCUAAUACCGGAUAAUAUUUUGAACCGCAUGGUUCAAAAGUGAAAGACGGUCUUGCUGUCACUUAUAGGUGGAUCCGCGCUGCAUUAGCUAGUUGGUAAGGUAACGGCUUACCAAGGCAACGAUGCAUAGCCGACCUGAGAGGGUGAUCGGCCACACUGGAACUGAGACACGGUCCAGACUCCUACGGGAGGCAGCAGUAGGGAAUCUUCCGCAAUGGGCGAAAGCCUGACGGAGCAACGCCGGGUGAGUGAUGAAGGUCUUCGGAUCGUAAAACUCUGUUAUUAGGGAAGAACAUAUGUGUAAGUAACUGUGCACAUCUUGACGGUACCUAAUCAGAAAGCCACGGCUAACUACGUG
RNAcentral lists this ribosomal RNA (497 nucleotides) under uncultured bacterium. Its description in RNAcentral is "partial 16S ribosomal RNA". It matches the Rfam family "Bacterial small subunit ribosomal RNA", at positions 28 to 507 of the family's 1533-position model. The record is from RNAcentral.